GGCCUUUCAUCUCAGAAAUUUGUGAGUAAUGAAAAGGGGAAAGCAACUUAAAGAAAAUAGCAACCAAAAGGUUGGGGACAGUUUAAUAUCCACUGAAGUCAGUGGAAUUUCAUCACCAAGGUAUUGUGGGUGUGGGAUACGAGCAAGAAUUUGUACAUCGUCAAAGGGCAACAAUGUAAGGAGGAAGUUUUAUGGUUGUUCAAAUUAUGGUGUUAGUUCUUGUAUUUACUCUUAUAUAAAAUUUUAAAUUUUUACAUACAAUCGUGGUAAAUUGUUAGUUUAAUUUCCUACAGAUACAAACAUUUGUGGCUUUUUUCAAUGGAUUGACUCCAUCCACAUGUUAGAAGAUGCUGAGAAUUCUUCGGGUCUAUUAAAUUUGAGGAGAAUUGAAAUUGACCUAUAGAUGAUGAAGGAGAAAGCUCAUGACUUGGAAGUGCAAGUAUCGAAAAUGGAAAAAAAGAAAGUCAAAUUGAAGAAUGAUUUGAAGUGUUUAAAAGAAGAAAUAAGAAAUUUACAAACUAGGGAGAAGUGGUUGAUACUUGUAAUUGGGGUGUUUUUUGUUUUGUGUUUGAGUAUGUUAAAAACUCUGUUUUAAUAAUUUGUGUAAUUGGAGAAAGCUCUGUUUUAGUUGUUUUGAUGUUUGGAAAAUGAAUGGACCUUUGUAUGAAAUUAUGGUUUUACUUGUGAUUUGAGUAAAAG
Molecule: long non-coding RNA, 699 nt
Filed under: Panax ginseng (ginseng)
Lineage: Eukaryota; Viridiplantae; Streptophyta; Magnoliopsida; Apiales; Araliaceae
Description: long non-coding RNA (PGIN_LNC012521)
Source: RNAcentral